Molecule: unclassified non-coding RNA, 379 nt
Filed under: uncultured Caryophanaceae bacterium
Lineage: Bacteria; Bacillati; Bacillota; Bacilli; Caryophanales; Caryophanaceae
Description: uncultured Planococcaceae bacterium contains 16S-23S intergenic spacer region
Source: RNAcentral
UCCGGUUUGUCACCGGCAGUCUCCGAUGAGUCCCCAACUAAAUGAUGGCAACUAAGAACAAGGGUUGCGCUCGUUGCGGGACUUAACCCUACAUCUCACGACACGAGCUGACGACAACCAUGCACCACCUGUCACCACUGUCCCCGAAGGGAAAGCCAUGUCUCCAUGACGGUCAGUGGGAUGUCAAGACCUGGUAAGGUUCUUCGCGUUGCUUCGAAUUAAACCACAUGCUCCACCGCUUGUGCGGGCCCCCGUCAAUUCCUUUGAGUUUCAGUCUUGCGACCGUACUCCCCAGGCGGAGUGCUUAAUGCGUUAGCUGCAGCACUAAGGGGCGGAAACCCCCUAACACUUAGCACUCAUCGUUUACGGCAUGGACUAC